RNAcentral lists this ribosomal RNA (555 nucleotides) under Salmonella enterica subsp. enterica serovar Tennessee. Its description in RNAcentral is "bacterial LSU rRNA". It matches the Rfam family "Bacterial large subunit ribosomal RNA", at positions 658 to 1211 of the family's 2925-position model. The record is from RNAcentral. Lineage: Bacteria; Pseudomonadati; Pseudomonadota; Gammaproteobacteria; Enterobacterales; Enterobacteriaceae.
UAGGGGAGCCGCAGGGAAACCGAGUCUUAAUUGGGCGUUAAGUUGCAGGGUAUAGACCCGAAACCCGGUGAUCUAGCCAUGGGCAGGUUGAAGGUUGGGUAACACUAACUGGAGGACCGAACCGACUAAUGUUGAAAAAUUAGCGGAUGACCUGUGGCUGGGGGUGAAAGGCCAAUCAAACCGGGAGAUAGCUGGUUCUCCCCGAAAGCUAUUUAGGUAGCGCCUCGUGAAUUCAUCUCCGGGGGUAGAGCACUGUUUCGGCUAGGGGGCCAUCCCGGCUUACCAACCCGAUGCAAACUGCGAAUACCGGAGAAUGUUAUCACGGGAGACACACGGCGGGUGCUAACGUCCGUCGUGAAGAGGGAAACAACCCAGACCGCCAGCUAAGGUCCCAAAGUCAUGGUUAAGUGGGAAACGAUGUGGGAAGGCCCAGACAGCCAGGAUGUUGGCUUAGAAGCAGCCAUCAUUUAAAGAAAGCGUAAUAGCUCACUGGUCGAGUCGGCCUGCGCGGAAGAUGUAACGGGGCUAAACCAUGCACCGAAGCUGCGGCAGCGA